Molecule: long non-coding RNA, 10105 nt
Filed under: Setaria viridis
Lineage: Eukaryota; Viridiplantae; Streptophyta; Magnoliopsida; Poales; Poaceae
Description: long non-coding RNA (SVIR_LNC006292)
Rfam family: MIR2275 microRNA precursor family (bases 2808-2928)
Source: RNAcentral
UUUUUUUUUGAGUAACCCCUGAAAUUAAGAUUCCUAGGCACAACCGAACAAGCAACAUAUCUAGUUUAAAAACAACUUAUUACAGAAUAGACCGUGAAGCAAAUUAAUAAUAAAACUAUAAAAAGCACUCAAUUGAAAUGGAAAAUUCCAGCCAAGAGGUAGCGUAACGCUAGGUGGAAACAAGCGGCUGAUCUUCCUCCUCUCCGUCGUCGUCUUCGCCCCCGGUGAGUGGCUCGUACUCGUACUCCACCUCCGCCUCAUCGUCGUCGACGCCCAACUCUUCCGCGUCGAUGUUAACCAAGAACCGCCUCCUCGUCGGCUCUCCCUCGCCGUCCGGACCCGGCGGGUCGAGGUAGUGGCCGUACAGCCGGACACUGGACGACGCCGAGUCGUGGCGGAGGACGAACUCGCCGUCGCCGGCGAGCUCCAGCGGCGGCACGGGCGCGAUGGGCUGCUCCGAUGACAGCGUCCCGAUCGUGCACACCUCGUUCCCGGCCUCGGCUCAGACGGUGACCUGCGCCUGGCCGCGGGCGGCGGCCGGGUCGGCCAGGGACAGCCCGGUGACGCGGAGGCGCUGGCCCUCCGACAACGAUAUGCGCAUGCGCCUCUCCCCGCCCCUCCACGUCAUCAGGCGCGGCGGCUCCUCCGCCUCCAUUGCCUCCGAUCGAUCAAGCCGCCGAUGGAUCGACGAGGUGGGUGAUCCACAAGAACUCGAUCGCCAGGGGGAUCGGUGUUGUUGUGACUUGUGACUUCCGUGGCGCAAGCAUAUAGAGACGAUGAAGAGCUCCGGAGACGGGAUUGGUUGUCGCUUGCCGCGCGAAGGAGAGUCCGAGUUCGAACCGAGAACGGAUAGGUUCCGUUGCUACUCCCUAAAACCCUCUUUCCGAAAUUGGGAUUACGUUUCAAAGGGGUAAAGGCGUAUUCGAGUCGCAUUACGCUUCUAACAGAGAGGUGCAUCCAGUCAGAACCAGGAAGCUAGCUACUUUUAGGAACAUAAAACUAGCUACUCCCUCCAUUUCAAAUUUUUAACUUUUUUAGAGAGUCAAAAUAUCUUAAGUUUAACCAAAUUUAUACAAUGAAGUACUGACAUUCAUGAUACCAAAUAAAUAUUAUUAGUUUCUUCAUUAAAUAAAUUUUCAUAGUACAUAUCUAUUCGGUGUCAUCAACUUUUGUGAUCCUCUUUAUAAUUUUGAUUAAACAUAAAAUAAUUUGGUUCUAAAAAAAUUAAAAUAACUUAUAAUCUGAAACGGAGGGAGUACUAAAGUGUGCAAAAUCAAUUGAAUUUGUUUAGCUAACGUGUCAGCCGAGUAGCCAACUGCAUCCCCCCAUCAUCACCCCAUAUGCCACUGGCACACUGAUGGCAAAUUCUGGAUUUCAAAAUAUUCCAACGGCAAAUUUUGGGUUGCCCCUAUAUUAUAGUGUAUUCUGUUGAAAACACCGUGAACAUUCGUAAUACUCCAUUAUAUUUUAUUCCGUACAUUUUCAUAUUAUUAAGGUCCCCAGUUGAUUGAGUUCUCCAAUUCAGUUCAUGGUGAAUUGAACUGAAGCCUGAGCAGCUGCAGGUCUGGCACGAGCCUGGCAAGGCCCGGCCAUCUUCGUGCUGGGCCAAGACCGGCACUACGGCGCCACCAUGCCGUGCCGUGCCCGCCCACGCGCCGCACCACAUGGGCCCACGAGCUCUUUUUGGUGCCAGGCAACCCGGCUGGCCUAGGGAGUCCGUCGGGCUCGUGUCGGCCUUGCGCCCGCUGCUCGCUGGAGUGGGAGUUGGUGGAGGAGGAGGAGGGGAAGCGGCGCCAGAGGCGGCGGAGGCGGUGGAGGGAGCGGAGGAGCCUGCAGGUCCCGGCGGGGCAGGGCGGGGAGGGGAGGGCUGGAGGGGGCAAGGGAGGCCGAGGUGGAGCGCGAGUGCGGGCGGGAGCGCCGGGGAUGAUGUGGCGGAUGCGAGGCGCCGGAAGGCGCAUGCGGUGGCGGGCUGCGCGAGGAUGCAGAGCAGCACGUCCUCCAGCACCGUGCCCGGCUCCGUCACCGCCGGUGAGGUCCGCAUGGUGGCGGCGCUCCGAUCUGGGGGUCGGGGCUCGAGGAUACGCGGAUGGAUGCGGUGGAGGAGAGGGGGAGCGGCGCGGCGGCGCCGGCGGCGGAGACGAGGAGCUUCGAAAUGGGGAGGUCGACGAUCGGAGGGAAGCGCCGCCACCGGAGUCGAGGCCUGGCGAGCGGCGAGGGAGAGAGGCGGGCAGGCAGCGGCUUGGUGGGGAACGCGGCCAGGGAAGGGUGGCGACGGGGGUAGAGGUAAAAUGGAUUAGGGUUGGCUGCCAGAGUUUCUGGUGUUGGUAUUUAUACGGGCCCUUAGCGGGCCUGCUCCUUUAGAUUGUGUCGAGCCGGGCCGCCCGGCGUGCUGGGGUGGCGGCCCACGCCCGGCACGAGCUAGCGGGCUGGUCCAGCACAGGCACGAAGGCCGCCGUGCCAGGCUGGGCUUGGACCGGGCCAAAAAGAUGGGCUUGUGGGCGGGCUACCGGGCCGCGGGCCAUCUAUAGCUGCAUGUGACAAGAACACAAGUACACAGCACAAGGCUUUGCAGCUUUUUAACAGACCAAGGACAGGGCAUAACCGGUACGAUGGGUACGUGCAACAGAAACUCAGAAACAGAUGCUGCUAGCUGCUCUUCUGAACCCUCAUGGCAUUCUCUCCUCAAUGAGGCUAUAAAUCUGGGUCGAGCUGCAGGGCAACACCUUCACAGCCAAUGCGUCUCAACAGCAAGUCUUUCCCUUCCGAUUACAUACAGUUAAUUGCUAUGAUAAUCUAGCUAGUGUCAGGCACUGAAGGUGAGAAUUGGAGGAAAACAAACCUGUAGAUCAUCAGGUUGUGUAGCAGAUCGAUGGGAAAAAACAUGAUCGCCGAUCGGUUUGUUUUCCUCCAAUUUCUUACCUUCAGUUGAUAGCCUGGCUGGCUGUACAGACGACACGAAGAAAGAUGCUACCGACAUUCAUAUGUGCCAUUUGAAGUGAGGAUUAGAUGGAACUGAACCAUCUCAUGAAAGACAAGGAGCAAGGUUCAGUUUCCUCUAAUAUCUCAUCUCGAAUGGCCCAUUCCGGAUACGGUUUUCGGCAUAGCUGAGAUGCAGUCGCCCAAAGUGAGUUCCAGAGGGAAUCUAACUCCAAAUCACUCCAUCAGAUACAUAGAUACAGUCUGUGUUCAUCGUCUGGUUUGUUUUCAUUCCAGAUCUUACCUCAGCUGAAUUGCUUCAUACGGAAGUUGUUGACUACCUGUUCUUAGUACUAGCCGAACCAAAAGUAAGGGCUUCAAGCUUCAAUGUCAAUGGCAAGAAUCCACACUCCUUGACCCCUGAACGCCGACAAAUUUAGUUUUGCUAGAACCGUUUAUUCAGUACCGAUCAUGCUGCCUUCCUCAAGACUUGCUCUGCCCUUUCUGAUAAAAUAACUUCACUUGCCCUGACCAAACCUUUCUGAAGAACAUAGUUUCACUGGAGUUUUAAAAAAAACAUGUUUGACGAUCCAUGGACAAAUUCCCGUUGUUUCCAUUUCCAACUUUUUUGCUACUCGCAAAGUGAUCGUCAGGCACUAAGAGUGAGGGUGGGAGGAGGGAAAACUGUCUGAUCAUCACAGUCUGCAAAAGUAAUCACCUAAUUCAGCUUGGCUUUCUCCAAUAUCUCAACCUUUAGUUGAUAGCCUGGCGGCAAUAGACAACAUGAAGAUAUGUGCCGUUUGAUCUCUCGCCUUGAAUAUUCCAUUUCCACAGAUUAUUUUCAGUAUGUGACCGAGAUGCAGUCAUCCUAUCCGAGAAUUGGAAGAAAUCAAACUCGAUCACACAGCCAGAUGGAUAGAUAGAUAAAUUGUCCUGCUGUCCAGCUUGUUUUCUUCGGUAUCUUAUAUUUGAAUGAAUUUGCUUGAUCCUGAGUUGUUUCCUUCCCUCAAAAGAUUGACUCUGAGUUGUUGAGUUGCCAUUAGUGCUAACCAAGGGCAAAGAGAUGUCAUGCAUUGAUCAACAGAUGCAGAACAGAGAUACAGAUGCAGGGCUUCAGUAUUAAGGUUAAUGGCAAGAAUUCACCCCGACAAAUGUAGUGAUGCAAUAAACAUUAUUCAGUCAACCGCAUGUUGCCUCUUCUAAGCUCAAAACGUUUUAUCCCUCACCCUAUCUGCAGAACAUGAGUCCCACUGGGAUCCUACAAGAAAGACAGAACAUGUCUGAACUCUCAAAUGAAUUAUUCCCUCUUUUUGAUUAUAACCACAACAAUGAAUACAAGUAAAGCAUAGUAGUACCAGUACAUAGGCAAAGCUCCUUUCCAGUUCACUAAGACCCAAAAACUACAUAACAAAAAGGGUCCAAACAAUCCCCAAUUGAUGGUUGUACAAAAAACAUGACCAGAGAGAGUAUUCAGGGCUAGAAGAGACCAGAUAGCAUGGUUAAAUGACUAUUCUUAAACUUUACAUGGCGUUUGUGUAAUGUCAAAUAAGGUUUGUAAAAUAUGUUCUGAGCCUCAAGUAACAAUCAUGUGAAGUCAGGUGGCUGAUCAGUCCAUCCAAAGCAACUUUUGUCAAUCUAUGUACAGGGGGAAAAUAUAAAUUGCCCAGCCAGAAAUACUGGUGGAUGAUUGACAGCCUUAGAAAUUCCCAUGGGCCAUCGCUACAUGAGAUUGGAUCACUCUCAUGGAUAGAGAAUACACAAGCUUCAUUCUGAGGGAAGCCAACACAUCAUUGGUGAUGUCUAGUAACAGUUUGCAACCAUGUGAACUGUGUAUUCUGGAUGUGUCAGAUCAGCCUAGAAGAGUCUAGGUUCGAAAUUACUGGUUUGUCAUCUGGCUCUUCAUUAGAGCUACUGAUCCCAGAACACUCGUCAGAAGACCAGUCACUUGGUGCUUGUUCCUGAUCAUCACUUUCAUCCUUUACUGAUGCACCAUCUGAGUCGAUAACUGAAGGGAAUGGCUGCUGCAUUUGAUCUUGUAGGCUUCCAUCAUCCUUUCCCCUCCAAACAAUAAUCUGUUCCUUGUCAAAAGAGACAAGAAUGCAAGGAACAAGGUCCUGCACCAAAAUAAUACGAUGUGAUAUACAAUCUAUUAUAAAUCAAUAAAUCAUGUUCAAAUCAGAUACACAAUUUCGGUAAACUCAUAUGAUAAACUCACCCUGAGUUUGACUCCAAUCUUCCGAUAAUCACUUUUUGGUAAUCCUUUACAAUCUAUUCGAGCCAAUUCAUCAACCAAAAAGGCAUCCCGAACCAUUGGCACAAGACUAGCAUAAUAUCCAUUCUUGGCUGUAAAAUAGGAUGAUUUUUAGUGAUCAAAGUCAUUUACUAUAUGUAUAUCUAAGCAGAGAAGGGAACAGAAUUACCAAGCUUCGUCAAAACAGGAACAUGUAGGCCCUUCUUCCUCAUUUGCUUCGUCUCCUCAACUGUGAGCCCCUCUAUUGUUGUUUUGAUCAACCUUGGGUACACAGGUUCAACUGGCUUCCAUAGCAUCAACGGAAUAACAGGCCUUUUCUUUGGAUUGUAAUGCCUACCCCUGUACAGUAUCAACUGACCCCCUUGCCUGUGGAUGAUCAGUCCACCAGUUUUAUCCUGGGAAAACCAUGGUCAUGAAUCUACUUGGAAACCAAUGCUAACACCUGAAAAUGUCCACCAAUAUUUUAAAUAAUCACUGCAAUUGAAAGUAAACAUGUAGCUACCUCAAGCUGGUGGCACACAUUUUGCAUAUCAACUGUUGGCACACCUAGGCAUUUCACCCUGACCGCCUCACAGCUCUUCCAGUUAUUGUGGAUGUCAUUUAGCAUGUUGUGAGUAAGCCCGUCUCUCCCUACAACAAGUCAACUAAAUGAAUUAGCAUCGUUCAUCAUGAUGAUUUGAAAUGACACCCGAAUCAGCAAAUUGGCUGCUGUUCUUGCUACAACAAAAUCACAAAAUUUUACCAAGGUUAAUCUGCCGCUUGGUGCGGUUCUUCUGGCAUUUCUCGACCAAGAACGCGCGCUCCGCGGGCGUGAGCGGCUCUCCCAGCACGCGCUCCCGCUCCCGCCGGCGGGCCUCCUCCAGCCCCCUCUCGGCGUCGGGGAGGGGGUCCUCGGCCGCGACGUCGCGGAGCGUGGCGUCGACGGCGGGCGCGCAGAGUCCCGUCCAGGGUCGGUCGAGCCGCCCGGGCCCGAACGGGGAGUACUUGGGCUCGCGGAGCCCGAUGGGCUUGGAGGCCGUGGUGCUCUCGGUGUAGCUGAAGCGGAAGUCGAAGGGGAGGUCCGAGUGCGCGGGCGGGCGGCCGCCGCGGUCCAGCGAGGACGGCGGGCGGUAGGGGGGCUUCUUGGCGCGGCGCUUCUUCGCGGCGGCGGAGUCGGUGGCGGCCGCGCGGGGCGGCUCUCGCGGGGACGGGGUCAGGGAGGCCGGGGCCACGAAGCCGUAGCGGUCGAGGAGGCGGGAGAGGUGGCGGUGGGGCGGGAGAUGGGGAGGUGCGCGCGCGCGGCGGAGGAGACCGGGGAGGGGGAGCAUGGGGCGGCGGCGGCGGGACGGGCGGCUCACUAGCUGAGGUGCUGUGGCUGUGCCGGCAGACGGCCGGCGACCGGCGGCGGUGGGGGUUAAGGGUCCUGCUAGUGGGUUUUUGGGAGGGAAGAUCUCAGCCGUACAAUGGAAGGCUGCCUCGAUAACGAACGGUUCGAUUUGAUUGUUAUUUGUUCAUGCUUUGAUCCCCUGAGAUCUGAAGGCUGCCAGUUUUUACUUUUUAGAAUACGGUAUGAUGUUGCAACAUUCCUGUGAGGAUUACAAUCCACGAGUUUUAGACAUUUCAUGAAGAUAAGAGAAGGAGAAAUCAAUGCACGUAUAUUUAAUUAAAUUUAGAGAAGGAGAAUGUAACCUCAGAGAAAUAUUGUUUGUCCAUAUUUCCAUAACCUAAAUUCAGAGCACGAAUUGGUUGUGCUGUAACUUUUGGAAAAACUACUAUGAGAUGUAAACUAUAGAAAAGAAGCUGUAAGAAAGCAGCUGUGAAAAAAGCAGAAGACAGUUUGGUUAGAACAGCUGUGAAACUGUAGCAUGUGUAAAAAAUACCUGUAAUAUCCUUAAAGGCCUGAGGGUCUGUUAUAUGAAAUUUAGUCGUAACAAAAUAAUGUGUUCACUAAUUCGCAUGUAAAUGACUAUUUUAGAAAGGAAAAAAAUAAUUUUUUUAAUAUUUUUCAUCCAUCAAAGUGAUUGGUCCACAUAAAUAGAACAAUAUCCGUUAAAAGGCUUAUACAAUGAUGCCAUCCCUCAAUACAACUGUUCUCCCCUCGCGCUAACCAAAGCAUCAGCUAUCCUAGUACGAAUGGUAUUCAUGGUAUCCUCAUACUCCACAUCGUCACUCUCAUCUCCUUGUGUUUGUGUCGUGCCACUUGUAUGUUGUACCAAGUACUCCUCAUCAACAUCACAUCUUUCGAAAUCCUUAUCACACAAAUUGUUGUCACGGAUAAAGUUAUGCAAUGCAAGACAAAGCAUAAUGAUAUGCUUCUGAGUACGAGGUGAGAAACUUAGCAUGCCCUUCAAAAUACACCACUUCUGCUUUAAGACUCCAAAAGACCUUUCAAUGACAUUACGAAGAGAUGAAUGCAAGAAAUUGAACAUCUCGUACUUUCCUUGAGGAGGCUCCGAACAAUAUUAAACUUGUUGUGAACUGUCCAAAGUGACCGUGUGAAACGAUUUUCAGCUUGUGAAAAAGAUUGUGGUCCUCCAACAAUCCACAAGAAUAUCGCCAAUGACUCAGUAGAUGAAACAUUGUUGGUUGAGGUUAAUCCAUAGGUAGAGACUAGCAAGUCAUGAAGUUUCUCGAAAAUCUCGGUGCUCAUCCGAAACAUCUUAUAAAAAUACCUUGGAUGUGACAUACACCUCAUCACCUAUUGAAUUCCAGUUUCUAGCGUUUCCCUGUAUUCACCUUUGUGCAAAUACCGAAAGUAUACAAGUUGCCCAUUUCUCCAAUAGUACUAGCAUGCUGUGCAAGUUCAGCUAGCAAUAGUAGUCCUUUUUACCCUUCUUUAGCUACAUCUCCCAAUCUAUCAUCCACCUACAUGAGACACAAGUAUAUUAAUAAUUAAAUACAACAACAUUCUUGACAAUAUUAUAUGAAGAAGCUCAACAUAACACAAUAAUAGAUAAAUAAUGUUUCACAUGCCCAAGCAAAUUAUGGUUCAACAUAGGGUAACUUAUUUUGGUUCAACAUAGGAAAAAUGUUAUCACAUAUGACAAGAAAAUAAUCUGAUAAACAUGAAAACAAAUCAGUGGCGCUUCAUCAUCUCCUUUUCUAGCUCCUCUCAAUCAAAUCGAAUCUUCCUUUAGUUGUUUCUAGAGAGCUAAAAAGCUCCCUAAAUUCAAGCUUAACAAUUAGGGAGGCGGCUGUGUACAUUAGAGCAGUUCCUUCUUGCACCCCUACAUUCUUUUAUCAUCUUCAUAGUCUCUGCAAUGGCAGGAACUAGAUUGGUUGGGGUUUCUACCUUCAAACAAGUGUUCUUGUACAAACGAAAGAAUGGGCUCUUCUCAUCCUUCUCUUCAACGCCAAUGGAGAUCCUCUUACGUUUCCUUUUUCCUAGGUUCACUAUCUUAUCCUUCUGUGUAGGUUUUAGUACCUCAUCCACAUCCUCAUCACUUGCCUCAUCAGAAGAUAUAUCUCCAGGAUAGGAUGCAGAAGACCCGCUAACAUGUGCCUUGCCAAACAAGAUAUGAAGAUCAUCAAGGAACUUGGGUCCUUAUUUUCGAAACUUCACAUGAUUGCAUUUGAUUCCUUUAUCACGAUUGUUGCAUUUCUAAAAUUAAAAAAAAGCAAGGCACACCAUAACAAAGAAUGGGAAAAAUAUAUUUACAAUGAUAAUAUAGUUCUUACAGCAAGGUGUUUGUUCCACCAUUCUUCUGAGCAGUCAACCGUUUGUUUUGCCUCAUCCCAUCCAAGACCAGUGGCACAAUUCUUAAACUCCAUAAACGUUGAAUACUCCUUUUUCAGAACAUCUAACUUCUUGUUUUUUUCACCUAUCACCGGAUUUUUCUGCAAACUUGGAAACAAUAUUCUUCCAACCGGUAGUAGUGAAAAUUUCCAUUGACCUAUUCCCAGCUUCAAUCUCUUCUUUGCAGGCAUCAAUCAAAUGCCUUAAAAAAGCAUCACCCCAAUCUACCUUGUCACCAUUCUUCAACCAACCAAAAAUAUUAUUUGAUUCAAUUCUUUUUCAUAUUACAAGCCAAUAAAAUCAAGCACCAAACAUCCUACCUAACCACGCAAAUCAACCAAACAGCUCACUGCAUUUAGUAAACAGAAGGGAGAGAUGAACCUUGGAGCAGCAAAUCCGUCCUGGGGGCACCAGAGGGAGGUUGCUGUGGGGCGGUGGUCGGGUGCGAAGGGGUGCGGCGGGCAGAGGGAGGUUGCCGUGGGGCGGUAAUCGGGUGCGACGGGGUGCGGUGGGUGGCAGGCAGGUGGGGGGCGACUGGUGCGGGGGAUGGAUGGGUAAUUUCUUUACCAAAACAAGUAAAAAUAAGGGGAACCUACUUUUGAAUUUGUACUAAAGUGAAAACUGCUUUUGGCAAAAGUACAUAUGAUUUUUUUACCCCUUUAGUUAGCUUUUAACUUUUGUACUAAAGUGAAAACUGCUUUUGGCAAAAGUACAUAUGAUUUUUUUACCUCUUUAGUUAGCUUUUGACUUUUGCAAAAGCAAAGGUCUGGAAGUCCAACCAAAAGGGGCUAAGGUAUGCAAGAUUUUGAGAUGCAGAGUUUCGACCGGAGGCCUCUACACUUCACCAGUUUUACCGAGCCACUGUACUGGUUCUGUGCUUGCAAAUGGAUCACGAAGAUGAAGAGAUCAGUAAAAAAAAAACUGGGUUUCCAAUCCCUUGAUUGAGUAACUACAGACAAAACUACAAGCGUACAACAAUCAGGGCUAAUAUUUAAUAUUUCAGGUUAAAAACCUUGCCAACCAUAACAAGUCCAAGUACAGACCCAUAUAGGCACAGCUAUAUCAUCCCAACCUUUCAAAGGAGGGGCGAUACAAAAUGAUUCCCACCAGUUCCAAACUUACACUUGAUUUGACACAAAAUAGUUAGACGUCAAUUGUCAGUACAAUUAAUUUAUCGCAGACCCAGAAGAUAGCCGAAGCACCUCAGCUCACCCUACCCUGUU